Molecule: non-coding RNA, 175 nt
Filed under: [Eubacterium] infirmum
Lineage: Bacteria; Bacillati; Bacillota; Clostridia; Peptostreptococcales; Anaerovoracaceae
Also listed under: 1 other name
Source: RNAcentral
CAUUAACUGAAUAAUAUGUGUUCUUUUAUUUAAAAGCGAAGAUGGAAACAGGUUAAAAUCCUGUGCGGUACCGCCACCGUAAGCGUGUAGUUUCUCUAUACAUCACUGAGAGAUUGGGAAGACUGAGAAAUGUAGAUGCGCAAGCCGGGAGACAUGCACAAAAUUAUCUUGUAUU